ACUCAAAUGAAUUGACGGGGGCCCGCACAAGCAGCGGAGCGUGUGGUUUAAUUCGACGCGACGCGCAGAACCUUACCAGGGCUUGACAUGUGUCUUACAAUCGGGGAAACCCGGUGCCCCGCAAGGGGGUGGCGCACAGGUGCUGCAUGGCUGUCGUCAGCUCGUGCCGUGAGGUGUUGGGUUAAGUCCCGCAACGAGCGCAACCCCCGCCGCUAGUUGGAUUCUCUAGCGGGACUGCCGGGACCAACCCGGAGGAAGGUGGGGAUGACGUCAAGUCAGCACGGCCCUUACGCCCUGGGCUACACACACGCUACAAUGGGGGGGACAACGGGCUGCGAAGCCGCGAGGCGGAGCCAAUCCUGCAAACCCUCCCUCAGUUCAGAUCGGGGGCUGCAACUCGCCCCCGUGAAGGCGGAGUUGCUAGUAACCGUGGGUCAGCACACCGCGGUGAAUACGUUCCCGGGCCUUGUACACACCGCCCGU
Molecule: ribosomal RNA, 483 nt
Filed under: uncultured bacterium
Lineage: Bacteria
Description: partial 16S ribosomal RNA
Rfam family: Bacterial small subunit ribosomal RNA
Source: RNAcentral